GACGAACGCUGGCGGCGUGCUUAACACAUGCAAGUCGAACGGAAAGGCCCUGCUUUUGUGGGGUGCUCGAGUGGCGAACGGGUGAGUAACACGUGAGUAACCUGCCCUUGACUUUGGGAUAACUUCAGGAAACUGGGGCUAAUACCGGAUAGGAGCUCCUGCUGCAUGGUGGGGGUUGGAAAGUUUCGGCGGUUGGGGAUGGACUCGCGGCUUAUCAGCUUGUUGGUGGGGUAGUGGCUUACCAAGGCUUUGACGGGUAGCCGGCCUGAGAGGGUGACCGGCCACAUGGGGACUGAGAGACGGACCAGACUCCUACGGGAGGCAGCAGUGGGGAAUAUUGCACAAUGGGCGGAAGCCUGAUGCAGCAACGCCGCGUGCGGGAUGACGGCCUUCGGGUUGUAAACCGCUUUCGCCUGUGACGAAGCGUGAGUGACGGUAAUGGGUAAAGAAGCACCGGCUAACUACGUG
This 468-nucleotide ribosomal RNA is filed under the name uncultured bacterium. RNAcentral's name for it is "partial 16S ribosomal RNA". It matches the Rfam family "Bacterial small subunit ribosomal RNA", at positions 28 to 507 of the family's 1533-position model. The record is from RNAcentral.